Molecule: long non-coding RNA, 1215 nt
Organism: Prosopis cineraria
Lineage: Eukaryota; Viridiplantae; Streptophyta; Magnoliopsida; Fabales; Fabaceae
Exons: 4
Source: RefSeq, a predicted model, not a curated record
UGUUCCCAAGGCAUCCUUAUCUUUGUGUCUCUCAAUACUCUCCAUCUUCAAAAUUCAAAUUUCUAUAGCAAAGCGAUCUGCUUUUUCAUAUGCCUUAAUGGAUUUCAGAAGCUAAGAUGAGAUGUCGCUUGCAAAUGGGUCUAUUACCGAUGGUGGAGAGCUAGGCAGCUGGGGUGGCAGAGUUUCGCCACUACGUUGCGUUGUGUACUGCCUUACACAGGAGGAAGGACGAUGAGGGCUUACCCCAAUAACCUCUCCCUUUAGACCCUGACGAUGGGGAUGAAGGAACCAUGGUGGGUGUUAAGAGGGGCGUUUCCUAUAUUUGAGUAUCAAUCACCCUGACAAUGGUUAGAUCUACUUCGUCCCCAUUUUUCUCCAUCUUUCCUGUGGGGUGUUAGGCUGUGUCAGAUCUCUUUAUUACUCUCGUAGUACGUAGAAGAUAAUGAGCAGCAGAAGUAGGAGAGAACGUUCAGGUUAAGGCAAAGGUCAUAUGAUUCAGAAUCAGAUCACCUUCCCUGUCUGAGUUAGAUAGCCUUGAAUCAUCGCUCAAAUGGGGUUUUGACAAGUGCAGGAGAAAGUCAUCAUUGUAGUGGUAGCAGUAGUCGGUGGUUGCAGUGUCGGAGCUCACCAACCGAGCAUGUCUCAGAUGAUAGUGACGAACGAGGUCGCUAGAAGAAAAGGACCCGAGGAUCAUUACUGAAGAAAAAAUAAAAGAGUACCUGGCUAAAAAGGCUUAGAGAAAGGCAAUGAGAGUUGAAAAAAAAAAAAAUUGAAGACUCAUGCUUUAUCGGCUUAUACGAACAAUUCAAAGCCAUUCGGUGAUUCUAAUCUCAAUGAGAAAGGAGGAGGAUGAAGAUGAAGAUGAAGAUCGAUGAAGACGAAGAUGAGGAUGAGGAUACAUGAUCAAAAAGAAGGUGGCACCCAACCACAACUCCAAGGACGAUACUCUGCAGCAAACCGUUAGGCGCAACUUCCUGCACGAUUCAGGGAGCAAGGCAGAAUAUAGUAUUGGCAACAACGUCAGAGAGGGGGUGAAGAAUAUUGUGUGUCGUCUCUGGUCUUUCUCCUCCUCAGUGGAUUUCCUCUUCUCCUUCUUGGAAAUCUUCCCCUUCCCUUACUCUUAGUUUUGUUGAAAUAUUUAUUUAUGGAUUAACAUUAAUUAAUAAGUUUAAAUAGAUUGGUCUUUAUUAUCUUGUAUGGAUCGUGAUAGCUGGA